RNAcentral lists this ribosomal RNA (253 nucleotides) under uncultured bacterium. RNAcentral describes it as "partial 16S ribosomal RNA". It matches the Rfam family "Bacterial small subunit ribosomal RNA", at positions 524 to 776 of the family's 1533-position model. The record is from RNAcentral.
UACGUAGGUGGCAAGCGUUGUCCGGAUUUAUUGGGUUUAAAGGGUGCGUAGGCGGCCCUGUAAGUCAGUGCUGAAAUAUCCCAGCUUAACUGGGAGGGUGGCAUUGAUACUGCGGGGCUAGAGUACAGAUGAGGUAGGCGGAAUUGACGGUGUAGCGGUGAAAUGCUUAGAUAUCGUCAAGAACACCUAUAGCGAAGGCAGCUUACUAGGCUGUAACUGACGCUGAGACGCGAAAGCGUGGGGAGCGAACAGG